RNAcentral lists this long non-coding RNA (1290 nucleotides) under Mus musculus (house mouse). Its description in RNAcentral is "long non-coding RNA chr4:114916620-114917910". Lineage: Eukaryota; Metazoa; Chordata; Mammalia; Rodentia; Muridae. The record is from RNAcentral.
CAGAGGUCAUCAUGCCAUGGCAGAAAGAACUAGAUACAUUCUCCCUGUUUUUAUAGGAGGUUUAGGCUAAGGCCAAGGUAGAGUCUUGUGACCAGUUUCCUCACAGCUCCCCCAUGGUAUAAAGCACAUUGUAUGACUGUCUGCCAAAGUCUGUAAGUUGAAAUGCUAUUUAAUUUGUCUCUGAGGUCUCAUUGUGGAGGAGUACAGGGCCUGGCUCAAUCUAAGAGUUUAGGGGAAUUAAGAAUUGCUGUGAAAACCAUAGAAAGGGAAAGGCUUUUGGCUGGGCAUUAGGCCUGGGACUAGACCUCAUGUUUUCUGCCUCAGCCUCACACCCGUUCCUCAGUUUUCCUCUUACAGUGUAAGGCAUCUCUCUAUACCUAAAACUACACUUCCCAACCUCCUUCCUCCUUCCUUUACAGUGGGGCAGCUGCCAGGCACUGCCAAGAGGAAGUAGAGAGGAAAUUGGAGAUCUGGGAGGGAUUCUCAGAGAAUGUGGGAACUACGGUCAACUUCCUAUUCCAUACCAAACAAGUGGGUUUCUGACUGGAACAAGGACCUGGUCCUCCCCAGGCUAGUAUGUCAUCCAAGAGAAUCCUGGCUUCACUCCAAUGAUUUCCCUCAUUGGAUUUCCUUCAUUUGCUUCAAAUAAGUGCAUACAGCAUGGCCAACAGGUGGCACUGUUGUCCCCACAGAGUUGUUGGGGAAGAGGAAAGAGACAAUCAGAGGAGGCAACCUAGACAGAGGGGAGAGGAAAUUGAAAAUGAGUCAAGAAAAGAGAAAUCUAAAACCUGUCACUUGGCUUGAAAUGACACCUUUCAAUAUCCAAAUUGGGGCUGGGUACCAGGGUGAGGACUCGGGGUGAACCAAGCUUGUUACUGGUGGCUGGGGCCUUCCAUCCAAACUUUCACGUCUACUCAGUUCUUUCUUGGAGACAGGAGUUAAGCAGACCUGGAGCCAAGUCUUGAUCCUGCCAGUCACUAUGUAGCUUGAUCUGGGUAAAAGAAUUAACUUCUAGAAAUUUCAUUUCAUAAUUUGUAAAUGGUAUGAUAUAUAGCACUUAUAAAAGGAAGCUAGAGGCUGGAGAGAUGGCUCGCUGGUUAAAAGCAUUUCCCGAUCUUCUGGAGAACCUGGUUUUGAUUCCCAGAACCCUCACAAACACCUUGUAUCUCUGACUCCACUCAACUCUUUGGGCAUCCGCACUCAUGUCCUCUCUCUCUCUCUCUCUCUCUCUCUCUCUCUCUCACACACACACACACACACACACACACACACACACACACACACUAAAAU